UACGUAGGGUGCGAGCGUUAAUCGGAAUUACUGGGCGUAAAGCGUGCGCAGGCGGUAAGUUAAGUCUGAUGUGAAAGCCCCGGGCUCAACCUGGGAAUGGCAUUGGAAACUGGCUUGCUGGAGUGUGGCAGAGGGGGGUGGAAUUCCAGGUGUAGCGGUGAAAUGCGUAGAUAUCUGGAGGAAUACCGGUGGCGAAGGCGGCAUCCUGGACCGACAUUGACGCUGAGGAGCGAAAGCUAGGGGAGCAAACGGG
Molecule: ribosomal RNA, 253 nt
Filed under: uncultured bacterium
Lineage: Bacteria
Description: partial 16S ribosomal RNA
Rfam family: Bacterial small subunit ribosomal RNA
Source: RNAcentral